GAAAAGAGAAUGCAAGCAGACAAAGAUCCAGAUGUACAAGACAGUCACUGUUGCAACUCCAAAACACGUUCCUUUCUCACAUUCAUUCCUUCUCUGUCUCUUCAGUUUCCCUCUUCAAACACAAAAACGGUCACAUUUCCAACAUCCCAAUAACUCCACCAUCUUCCAUCUUAUUCUUCUUCUUCUUCUCUUCACACUCUUAAAUUCCACACAUUAACCCAAAUCCAAACCCAACCCAUUUCACUUCCCUCAUCUCCUUCACUUUCCAGCCACUCUCCCACAAUGUCCACCUCAAAAAGCCUUGUUCUUGCGCUCUUCCUCCUUCUGGGUCUCUCGCCGCUCAUCGCCGCCGCCAACGGCGGCGCUCCGCCGCAGGAGCUCUGGUGUGUGGCGAAGAACAACGCGGAGGACGCGUCGCUGCAGGCCGCGCUCGACUGGGCCUGCGGUGCCGGUGGCGCGGACUGCGGCCCAAUCCAGAGUGGUGGGCCCUGCUACGACCCCAGCAGCGUGCAGAAUACGGCGUCGUUUGCAUUCAACGACUAUUUUCUCAAACACGGCAUGACCGACGAUAGCUGCAACUUCAACAACAACGCUGCCGUCACUUCCCUGAACCCUAGUUUUGGCAACUGCAAGUUCCACUCCGGCAUGGUAGGGAGCAAUGGGAGUUUUUCUGGGUCGGCACCUUCAUCUUCUGUUGGAUUGGGACCGAGUGAAGAUUUGAGUGGGUGCAGGAAAGUUUCUUGGGGGUGGUGGUUAUGGCCUUUGAUGUUUAUGGUUUCUGUUUUUGGAUCAUAGGAGGUGGAAACUGAAAAUAGCCCUUGAUUUGAUAGGGAAUUGCCAAAAGAGAAAGUUUUGCUUCUUCGCAUUGCACAGACAUGUUCAAAUUAUGGGAAGAUUGCCAAUAUUACUUUUGUGCGGCAAAAUUGAAUAAAAGCAUACGUAAUUACAGUAGAGAUAAGAAGAGAAGAGGAAAUGUGAGACAAAACUGGAAACUGUAAUGAAGAAAAACAGAGGAAACUAACAAAUAACGUGUUAAGAGUGAUAUAAUUAUAUUGAAGAUUGCUAUGCAUGAGGUGGUCCUUCCUUGACUUCUGCAAAUUAAUUCUUCAAAUUCAUAUAUGAUGAUGCCAGUUUUGUAUGACCAUGUGAUGCAUGACAUAGUAUUCGUUAAGACAUUCAAUCCUGAAAAAUCUGACUAUGGUUUUCUUUGAGAAAAUUCUACCUAAAUAGUGGUCAACCUGUGUGAACAUGUUAUAAGGUUUGGAGAA
Vigna unguiculata (cowpea) is the source of this 1268-nucleotide unclassified non-coding RNA. Lineage: Eukaryota; Viridiplantae; Streptophyta; Magnoliopsida; Fabales; Fabaceae. The record is from RefSeq and is a predicted model, not a curated record.